RNAcentral lists this long non-coding RNA (657 nucleotides) under Homo sapiens (human). RNAcentral's name for it is "HSALNT0126669". The record is from RNAcentral. Lineage: Eukaryota; Metazoa; Chordata; Mammalia; Primates; Hominidae.
GCCUGCCGUAUCCGCCCAGGAGGGGGCCAGGUACACAUGCAGGGCAAACUGUUUAUUCAUGAAUGAAUGAAUGAGUGAGUGAAUGAAUGACUAGAAUUCUUAGCCCUUGUACUUAAAGGGCUCUGAAUAUGGAGAUAGAACACUGGAGUCGAAGUCCCAGCCCCCUCUGUCGCUCUCUCUGAAGCUCAGUGACUACUCCAGUAUUAAAUGAUGCAUGUAUAAAGUUAGUCACUCUAUCAUUAUCUGUAAUAGCAGAUGAUUGGAAAUGACCUAAAUGUCUCAUAAUAAGGAACUAGUUUUAAAAAGCAUGUUCCAUUCAUGCCUUGAAAUACUAUACAUUGAAAAAAUAAAAAUUGUAUAAAUAUGUGAAAAAAACAGUGUGUAUAUUAUACUACGACUUACUUCUUUGUGCAUAGAUGUUCUACAAGGCUAUAUAAAAGAUUGUUAAUUAUGGUUGUCUCUUGGGAGGGGGAGUUUAGAUUGUAUAAUGGGGUAGAAGGCUGACUUUUCGUUGUUUACUAUUCUGCACCUUCUGGAUUUUGUACUAUGUAUAUAUUUUAUAUAUUAAAAUAGCUUUAUAUAAAUAAAACUAGCCCCAUGGCUGAAUAAAUUUUAUUACAAUUUUCUUAUGAUUCCCUGAUACUCUGUUCCUUAACU